UACGUAGGGGGCAAGCGUUGUCCGGAUUUAUUGGGCGUAAAGAGCGUGUAGGCGGCUGGGUAGGUCCGCUGUGAAAACUCGAGGCUUAACCUCGAGACGUCGGUGGAAACCAUCCAGCUAGAGUCCGGAAGAGGAGAGUGGAAUUCCUGGUAUAGCGGUGAAAUGCGCAGAUAUCAGGAAGAACACCCGUGGCGAAAGCGGCUCUCUGGGACGGUACUGACGCUGAGACGCGAAAGCGUGGGGAGCGAACAGG
RNAcentral lists this ribosomal RNA (253 nucleotides) under uncultured bacterium. Its description in RNAcentral is "partial 16S ribosomal RNA". It matches the Rfam family "Bacterial small subunit ribosomal RNA", at positions 524 to 776 of the family's 1533-position model. The record is from RNAcentral.